UAGGGAAUCUUCCGCAAUGGACGAAAGUCUGACGGAGCAACGCCGCGUGAGUGAAGAAGGAUUUCGGUUCGUAAAACUCUGUUGUUAGGGAAGAAAAAAUGUAUAGUAACUAUAUACAAAAGAGACGGUACCUAACCAGAAAGCCACGGCUAACUACGUGCCAGCAGCCGCGGUAAUACGUAGGUGGCAAGCGGUGUCCGGAAUUAUUGGGCGUAAAGCGCGCGCAGGUGGUUUAGAAAGUCUGAUGUGAAAGCCCACGGCUCAACCGUGGAGGGUCAUUGGAAACUAAUAAACUUGAGUGCAGGAGAGAAAAGUGGAAUUCCUAGUGUAGCGGUGAAAUGCGUAGAGAUUAGGAGGAACACCGGUGGCGAAAGCGGCUUUUUGGCCUGCAACUGACACUGAGGCGCGAAAGCGUGGGGAGCAAACAGG
RNAcentral lists this ribosomal RNA (429 nucleotides) under Verrucomicrobiota bacterium. Its description in RNAcentral is "Verrucomicrobia bacterium partial 16S ribosomal RNA". It matches the Rfam family "Bacterial small subunit ribosomal RNA", at positions 355 to 776 of the family's 1533-position model. Lineage: Bacteria; Pseudomonadati; Verrucomicrobiota. The record is from RNAcentral.